RNAcentral lists this ribosomal RNA (509 nucleotides) under Gephyromantis leucomaculatus. RNAcentral's name for it is "partial large subunit ribosomal RNA". It matches the Rfam family "Bacterial large subunit ribosomal RNA", at positions 1922 to 2597 of the family's 2925-position model. The record is from RNAcentral. Lineage: Eukaryota; Metazoa; Chordata; Amphibia; Anura; Mantellidae.
GUUUAACGGCCGCAGUACUCUAACCGCGCAAAGGUAGCAUAAUCACUUGUCUUUUAAAUGAAGACUCGUAUCAACGGCAUCACGAGGGUUCCGCUGUCUCCUUUUUCUAAUCAGUGAAACUAAUCCCCCCGUGAAGAAGCGGGGAUAAAUCUAUAAGACGAGAAGACCCCAUGGAGCUUUAAACCUAGCUGUACACCCCCCCCCACCCAUAUCCUCUACCAACGGGGGCCCCUCAUGCCAGGUUUUAGGUUGGGGCGACCACGGAGCACAAUCAAACCUCCAUGAUGAACGAGCCUAAUCUCUUAUCCAAGAAAUACACCUCUAAGAAUUAGUAUACUAACAUAAAAUGAUCCUCUAUUGAUCAACGAACCAAGUUACCCUGGGGAUAACAGCGCAAUCCAUUUCAAGAGCCCUUAUCGACAAAUGGGUUUACGACCUCGAUGUUGGAUCAGGGUAUCCUAGUGGUGCAGCAGCUACUAAAGGUUCGUUUGUUCAACGAUUAAAACCCU